This is a long non-coding RNA of Eptesicus fuscus (big brown bat), 993 nucleotides long. RefSeq lists it as uncharacterized. Lineage: Eukaryota; Metazoa; Chordata; Mammalia; Chiroptera; Vespertilionidae. The record is from RefSeq and is a predicted model, not a curated record. The transcript is spliced from 4 exons.
CCCAGCCAGAGGAGGGACCGGCCUUAACCUCCAGGAGGGUGGCAGCCGAGGCAAUUGAUUUGAGAACUUCCUCCUGCUCGAAUGUAAGCACCAGUGCAGCUGCCCAACAGCGCGUCCAUCUCACCCAGUUCUGGGCAGACCCAGAGGCCGAGGCCGGGUCCUGUCGGGGACGUUUUGAAGUUUUGGCCACAACUCUUCUGAGAACAAAGACCCCGGCAUCUGCCCGGCUCCACCCCCGGGCCUCGGAGAUUUACGGGCAGCGAGCACAGGAGAUGGGCUCUCACGGAGGAACCGGCAAAGGCCCAGCAGGUGGACGGCAUGUGUCGGAGCAGGAGGCAUGGAUCCCAGCGGGGCCUGGGGCCCACGUCCACCUCGAUGCAUCCUGCGUGGCUCCCCAUCCCCCGCCAAGACCUCCUCAGCCUGAGGGAGGAGGAGUGUGGCAGCCGUGGGCCUGGUCAGUAAAAACUUAAAGAAAGAAAGGAAGAAAGAAAAAGAGACGAGGCCAAAAAUGACGGUGAUGUGCGGCCCCUCAUCUGGACGGGAGUGAGUCCAGGAGGGCUUCCUGCUAGAGGUGACCUUCAGGCCAGCCCUUCUCUGCAGACAUCUGCUGUCCGUCACCACCUCGAGGGAGCCGCAGACCAGGACUCUGCAACUAACCGUGUGGAAAUGAGCUCGCCAAGGCCCUGCCCGGACCCCCUGCUGGGUGGGGCGUCCCAACGAGGACCCGGCCCUGCUCUCCCCAGCUCAGCCUGGGUGGCGGGCCGAGGACCGGCUGAGUCACACCGGAUGCCGGGUGCCAAAAUGCCUUCCAGCCUCUGGUCACUGCUGCACGGCCGUAGGAAAGGACUCUACACACAGGGGCUAUAUUUAGAUAAAUGCCUGAACUCACAAGUUCUUGAUGAGCGGUAUACACGUGUGAGAGUCAGCAUUUCCCCUUGUUCCGGAUUUGUGCGGUGGGGCACUGAGGAGAAUUCUUAGAAAUAAAUGCUGAGG